CUAGCAGUAUCAGAGUUUGAUCCUGGCUCAGAUUGAACGCUGGCGGCAUGCCUUACACAUGCAAGUCGAACGGUAACAGGUCUUCGGACGCUGACGAGUGGCGAACGGGUGAGUAAUACAUCGGAACGUGCCCAGUCGUGGGGGAUAACUACUCGAAAGAGUAGCUAAUACCGCAUACGAUCUGAGGAUGGAAAGCGGGGGACCUUCGGGUCUCGCGCGAUUGGAGCGGCCGAUGGCAGAUUAGGUAGUUGGUGGGAUAAAAGCUUACCAAGCCGACGAUCUGUAGCUGGUCCGAGAGGACGACCAGCCACACUGGGACUGAGACACGGCCCAG
Molecule: ribosomal RNA, 334 nt
Filed under: uncultured bacterium
Lineage: Bacteria
Description: bacterial SSU rRNA
Rfam family: Bacterial small subunit ribosomal RNA
Source: RNAcentral